GACUAUCCAAUUACACGGGAUAUUAAAGACAAAAGAUGAUGGUGUAAUCAAUAAUCACUAAUAUUUUUUAUUGAAGGACUUCUAUAUAUAUAUAACCAUUUUAGCCAUCGUUUUGCUAACGUUUCUGCAUGUAUUGGAGUCCUCACAUCCUGCAAGAGUGUGUUAAAUCAAAGAAACAUUUUUAUGAGUUUGAUUUAUCAAAAUAAAAAAAUAACUUUUGGGUUCUCAACGUAAAAGUAGAAGUGCAUGAAACUAACUUUAAAAUUGCAUCGCCAAAAGGAUUUAUAAACUAAUUUACAGUCUGAUUACUCACUCACUUUGGUAAAAGAAAAAAAUAUUAAAUUUUUAUUUUUAAAAUAGAAAUCAGGCCAUGUUAGAAAUACAAUAGAUACACCUAGUUUGAAUUAAAGUAUGAUUUGUACAUGUGACGACCCAACUACACAGCUACAGAUAUCAAAAUUACGAAGCGAAUUGUGCAAAUGCGACAAAACAUUCACAUUUGCAAAGGUCCCAUCCCUGGCAAAUGAGAACCAAGCUUCCUAUUUGUGAAGCUGCUCAAACAAUGCCCAGUGUCGCAAAUGCGAUGAUCCCCCAUCCGCAAAUGCGACGCAGACUUUGCAAAACCAAAGUGCCAGCCCCCAGCUCAUCUUCGCAAAUCUGAGCCAUCCCUCGCAAAAGUGAUACGUGUGGAUUUUAACUAAUUAUUAGUGCCUUCUAGCUUUAGUUCUAGUCUGAAAAUAGUGAUUUUUGUUUCCGAAUUUAAUGAAAAUGUGUGAAUUGCAGGUAUGUUGGAGGAUGCGAGGUCAAUGAAGAAAUCUAACUCAAAGAGAAGAUGUCCAGAAUUUAUUCUGCAGCUGCAAAUGCAAAUUGUGGCCCACAGAAAGUGAAUUGCUGCCGCACCGCAGACUAAACAAUGAAGCUUCAGAGGAUUUUAACAGCAGUGCAGCUUGCACACCAAAUUAUAUGGCCGCAGAAACUGCUGGCAUUGACAAGACUGAGAUAUUAGAAAAGAUGCAAAAAAAAAAAACAAAUCUAAAGCCUCCUUAAAGCGCGGUCCGCAACCUAAUUGUGUGGCCGUAGAAGUUUAUUCGCGGCCACUAAAUUUCCCCAACUAACAAGCACUGUAAAGACAACAAACUGAAGUGCAGACCGCAGAUAAAAGUAUGCGGCCGUAGAGGUUUUUUUCUCAAAUAGAGAAGAUAUGCAAAAACCAACACUGGUUAGUUU
Molecule: long non-coding RNA, 1227 nt
Filed under: Nicotiana benthamiana
Lineage: Eukaryota; Viridiplantae; Streptophyta; Magnoliopsida; Solanales; Solanaceae
Description: long non-coding RNA (NBEN_LNC009216)
Source: RNAcentral